GUUCUUGUAAAAACGCACCAUGUUACUUGUUAAUGCACAACCAACAUAACCUGUAUCUUUGGAAGGAUCGUGCAGGAAUCUUGUUUCUAAGGGUAGAAGACCAGUGUCUCCAAGAUCCAAUGUUUGUUUCAAUUCACCAUCAGGCCAACUAUACACAUGAAGAUGCCUCCCGUAGAGACCAUCGGCAACGUGUUGAAGGUUGAAACCUUUUACGAAAGCAGAAGGGGCACCCCAUGAUGAGCUAAUCAUUG
RNAcentral lists this unclassified non-coding RNA (251 nucleotides) under Hevea brasiliensis (rubber tree). Lineage: Eukaryota; Viridiplantae; Streptophyta; Magnoliopsida; Malpighiales; Euphorbiaceae. The record is from RNAcentral.